AGAAAUAUCAGUUUUCACCUCCAGUACUUUACCUAUCUGGGAUGCAGCUCGACGCAGAAUAGUUGGAGAAGUCCACUCCAAAGGCUUUCUUCAUCGCAACUUGAAAGGCGGAUAAAUUCACAGAGGGAUUGGUAAAUAUAUUGCCUACCAGAAUGAGGCGACAAUCCUUUAGUUUGGCCGACGCAGGGAUGUCAUCCCAAACCUCCAACUCCUGUUCUGAGCAUAAACGUCCCAGGCGAUUGCAUAGGGAAGCAAUUCGUGAGAUUGCAUGUUACAGAUCGACAACAUGCAGAGCAGGAAUGGCGGGGAAUUGCAAGAGAACAGAAGAACAGCGGAACCAGGGAACGGUGAUAGUUGAAAGGGAUAGAAGAAUUUGCACAUGCAGAAGGAUGAAAUACGAGGAGAAGCUAGUUAAGGUGAAAUGGGCGGAGAACGACGGUGAUGCAGAAAGACCUCAAAGAUCAGAGAAGGAGCUGAGGAAGUCG
This is a long non-coding RNA of Eucalyptus grandis, 485 nucleotides long. RefSeq lists it as uncharacterized. The transcript is spliced from 3 exons. The record is from RefSeq and is a predicted model, not a curated record. Lineage: Eukaryota; Viridiplantae; Streptophyta; Magnoliopsida; Myrtales; Myrtaceae.